Molecule: ribosomal RNA, 253 nt
Filed under: uncultured bacterium
Lineage: Bacteria
Description: partial 16S ribosomal RNA
Rfam family: Bacterial small subunit ribosomal RNA
Source: RNAcentral
UACAGAGGGGGCAAGCGUUGUUCGGAAUUACUGGGCGUAAAGGGCGCGUAGGCGGCCUGUUAAGUCGAACGUGAAAUCCCCGGACUCAACCCGGGAACUGCGUCCGAUACUGGCAGGCUUGAAUUCGGGAGAGGGAAGUGGAAUUCCCGGUGUAGUGGUGAAAUGCGUAGAUAUCGGGAGGAACACCAGUGGCGAAGGCGACUUCCUGGCCUGUUCUUGACGCUGAGGCGCGAAAGCUAGGGGAGCAAACGGG